RNAcentral lists this long non-coding RNA (565 nucleotides) under Gopherus agassizii (Agassiz's desert tortoise). Its description in RNAcentral is "lncRNA (ENSGAGG00000024004.1)". The record is from RNAcentral. Lineage: Eukaryota; Metazoa; Chordata; Testudines; Testudinidae.
CGGGGGAGGCGCGGGGCAGGAGCGCUCGCUGGCUGAGGGGCAGAGGGCAGGACCGGCUGUUUCUGCGCUUGACUCCCUCCCCCUGGCUGCAGGAAGCUCCGAGCCGGGUUUCGCUGCUGGCCGCUGGGCAGGCUGCGGCGUGGGGCCCGGCUCCCUUCGCGGGCCAGGCUGGGGAGUAGCGGCGGGGCAGUGCCUGGCGGAGCGGCGGUGCUGGGGGCCGGCUGGCCAUGCGGAGAGCAGGCUGCGGGAGGUGCAGCUCCGAACCCUGGCCUGGCCACCGGGCGAUGGAGGAUGGGCUGCCCGGAGCCGCAGCUCGGAGCCCGGGGGUACCGUCUGGGGUUGGAUCCUGAGGCUCCUCUGUUCUUCACGCUGAUCCACUGAAAGAGUCCCUGAACUUGUCCAUGUGUGUCUGAGUCUGGAGCCCCAGGUCACCAUGCACCUGGAAGGGAAUGGCCAGUCAGGCAGCUCAACUUCUGGUGCCAGGGCAGGUCUGUGUGACAGCCAUGCCUGUCUACAAUGACAGGUAAGAAGGCUUUUCUCCAACCUAUUUGGCUGUGAAGAAUGG